AACUGGUUCUCGUUAGAUCACCGAAGUCAGCAUCAUUGGACGCGGUCAGUACUUGGGUGGGAGACCACCUGGGAACACCGCUUGAC
Caerostris extrusa is the source of this 86-nucleotide non-coding RNA. The record is from the annotation of a GenBank genome assembly. NCBI's taxonomy places the organism in Eukaryota, Metazoa, Arthropoda, Arachnida, Araneae, Araneidae.